Long non-coding RNA from Mugil cephalus (flathead mullet), 4187 nucleotides. RefSeq lists it as uncharacterized. NCBI's taxonomy places the organism in Eukaryota, Metazoa, Chordata, Actinopteri, Mugiliformes, Mugilidae. The record is from RefSeq and is a predicted model, not a curated record. The transcript is spliced from 3 exons.
UUGAUUUGAUAAUUUAAUAUCAAUAAAGUAUUAUCUUAUCUUUAUAAGACGCUAAUUUUUACCCCUUAUUAAAUUUGAGCUGGGUUUGCUUAGAUUAACUAUCUAAUUAAUUCAUAUGUUGGAGUGUGGAUUAAUAUUUUGUUGUUCUUUCAUUUUCUCCUUUCGAUCAAAACACAGCCAGCAUAAACAAUAAAUGAGAAUGAAAUGGAUUCUCUCCCUGCAAACAUUUCGACGUCUAAUAAAAGUUGAAACGACGUCUAAACGUACACGUCGCCAGGAGAUUUAAAAGUAAUGCUGAAAUGCAAAUUGAAACGACGUCACGUUACCUUGACGUCUUUUUAACUGUCGUAAACAGUUUCUCCCCAACGUCACGUUGUAACCUAGACAUCUUCUAAACGCGCAUUAUUCACCUUGUAAAAAUAAUCCAGUGUAAAUAUAUAUAUAUGUAUAUGUAUAUGUAUAUAUAUAUAUAUAUAUAUAUAUAUUUUUUUUUUUUUUUUUUUAAAGCUGUAUGUGUCGAGUUUUAGAUGUUGUUUCUGCAGUGGAGUUAAAAAGAGGUUGACCAAUGCAGGUAGAGGAGAUGUUGACGUUGCGAUUUGACGUAUUUUCAACAUGCAAUUCAGCAUUACUUUUAAACCUCCUGGCUGCGUCUCGGUGUAGACGUCGUUUUAACGUUUGUCAAAGGUCGAAAUGUUAUCUGUUCAAAUUGACUUAUUAACUGUGAAACAAUAACAGUAUUUACAUAUAGAUAACACAUACAUUUAAUGAAUAAUAAAUUAUAUUAAAAACAUUAUUUUGUUAUCAAUAAACACAUGUAUAUAAAUACAAUGUAUUAACAGAACUAGCUUUGGGGGAAAUUAUAAGUUUAACAACACAAAAGUGCAAUUUUUAACAUUUUAUUAAACAAAUCAAAUCAGAGCACAGUCCAAAAACUGUAAAAAUAUAACCCGUUCUCAUUCCUAAGGCGUAAUAUACCGACGAUUUAUCACGCCCCCCUAGACGUCUGAUAAUGACGCAAAAGGUACCCUUUCACGUCUUUAUAAGACGUUCUGGGUUCUCAGUUGACUUCAAUGUAAACCGCUCGCGGCGGUAAGAGGCGCUUAGAGCAAAGGCUCCAGUCCUCCAUUCACUACAAUAAUAACCCGUUCGUGGUGAGAUAUGACGCUGCGAGCUUCAAUCUGAUUGGAGAAUGGAGGACAUUCUGCCCGGAAGUGUUUUUCUCACUAUUUUAAGCAUUUCUUUUACUGACAUCGUCAACACAUCCGAGUAUCACUGCUGAUUCAACAAUAAAGUAGCUUCAUGUUGUGGCCAUCACUUUUAAUUUUCCCUCCUUCGGUUCUGAGAAAUAAACUUUUAUUCAUGUUUUGGAUAGCGGGAAAGCCUACACUACCCAUAAUCCUCGACCACGAUGAUUUGUCACGCCCCUAGACGUCUGAUACUAACGCAAUAGGUACCCUUCCACCUCUGUAUGAAACGCUCUGCAAUCAGUGUUUUCCAGACUGAUUCAGGGUCUGAAAGGGAACAGAUUUACCGAAGUCACAAAGGAGAAGAAAGUGAUUGGUUGAUUGUAACGCAGGUAUGUAAAAAAUAUAUGACUACAUUGAGAAAGUGAUAAAUGUUUUAGAAAGACAGAUUAGCUUGAUUCACUUCAAAAAAAUUUUUUUUUUCAGAAAAGCUUCAAAGGCGUCUGAUUUUGGAAGCAGUUUAAGACCUUUAAAAAUGACUACUGCGUCCUUCAGCAUGCUUGCUAAAUAGAGUAACGACUACACGUGGCUACUGCAGCAUUAGCUAUUUAUUCCACCAAUGAUGGAUUAAAUCUAUUACAAACAUUAAAGGAGUUGUAUGUUGCAAAAUAGCCAAAUAGCCCCACCAUUGUUAUUAUCUGUGUUGUUAUGUCAUGUGAAUUGCUUUGUUAUGUGUUUGUGUCACUGAGUUCUGUCAAAAUGUCUUUCCUCUUUAGUUUGAAAAAUCUUGAGCUAGAGGAAGAGCUUCAGGGUGCCGACGAACUUCUUCAGGAUAUGGAUGUAACAUUAUUUUUAAAAGAUGUAGGGUAAACAGUUUUUACAGGGGAAACAUUCUUGUCUAAUUUAUUGUGGGGAGUCAAAGUUGUAUUAUUUAGAUUUAAUAUAUAUAUAUACAGUAUAUAUAUGACUGUGUAUACAUUAAAGUUCUGUGAAAAUAACUUAAGAUGUUUAAAAAUCAUGAAUAAAUAAUGCUUUAAUCACGGACUGUAUUUUAAGUGUUGCAAUUUUUUCUUAUGUGUUUAAUGAGGCACAGGGUGAACCUCAGACAUGACCAGUGCGCUGGAAAAAACACGACAGACGAGAGAUGUUAUUCCUCAAAGGCCGUCAUCCAGUCGAAGUACUAGUGGCUUGGCACAUGUGUCAACUGAUCAGCAUCAAUGUCCAGGUGAAGGACCUAGUUGUGAUGUUGCCAGUGUCAACACAACAAAAGUGCUUCGUCAGGAGCUCCUUCAGUUGUUGGAGGAUGGAGAAGAGGAUGCAGCAGUGACUUGCGAGAUGUCGUCUGAGUUGGCUGCUACUGACUGGGAGAUCAGAAACACGGAGUCCUGCUAAAGUGGAAAGAGGCCAGGCCUUCUCAUAUUGACAAUAUGUUGGCUACUCUGGAUCCACAGAGUCUGUGAUAUUACAGUUCACACACACAUUGUCCUGCACAACAGAGAGGCACUAACAGGAGUCACACUAUUUUGAUAGUGUGACUAACCUUUGGAAUGAGCCACUUAUGUACAUGUCACUACAUCAAAUGCUUUCCAAAACAUACAUUUAAUUAAUAACAAUAAGUGAGUCUUGAUUGGAGUGUUUGCAGUCAUUACUGAACCACCUAUAGGUAGUAGGUAAACUGUUAAACUGGAAAUAUUUAAAGGUUCUGUCGUAAACAUGAAAAAUAAAAGUGAUCCUCAUAUAUUUCUGUGUGCAUAACGAAAAUGCCAACCUCACUACAUUGAAGUCAACUGAGAGCCCAGAGCAUCUCAUACAGACGUGGAAGGGUACCUUUGCGUCCGUAUCAGACGUCUAUGGGCGUGACAAAUCGUCGGUAUAUUACGCCUUGGGAAUGAGAACGGGUUGAAAAAUAACGUGACCAAUAUCACUUCAGAUUAACAGUUACAGUUUAAGCUGUGUUACCAGUAAUAAAAUAAAAUAACGACCACUGCUGUGCCUUGUCAACACCAAUGUUGAUCAACAUCAAGAACAAACCUAACAAAUCAAAUCAGAACACAGUUGAAAACUGUUUUCACAGAGGCGUUCACAAUCGCUUCUUCUGGCUCCCUCUCUCUCCUCCGCCUGCUCAAAAAUACAAGGAUGAAAUAAAAUAUAGUCAAUAAAAUAAUAGUAAUAGAAGUGCAUAAUAAUUCAGUCAAAUUGGCAGUCUAGGUUAUGCAUUUAUAGAUUUCUCUGAGCCAAAAAUAAUAUCUAUACAUACAUAUCUAUACAAAAAAAAGAAAGUAAAUAAUAUUAAUAACGUUUUAAAGUACAAUUCAAUGCAUCAAUAAGAGCUUACAUGGAAAUACAGCCUAAAUGCAUUUUGUGACUAAAUACAAUUAAUAAUUUGUGUAAGCUUGCUAUUUAUUUCUCAUACAUUAUUGUAUAUACAGUGGGAACCUCUUGAUGAUCACAUCUGUUCUUGGGAAAUUGUAGACUAAGUGUUUUACCAUCUAAUUCACCUACGUACAUACUACAUACAUCACAUGAAUGUCACUUCAUGAAACAGACAUAUUUUGCUUUGUGGUUAUAAUUACAUAGGCCAAAUAGUCCCAGAUAAUGAUAAAAUAAAAAAAUAAAUAAAGAUUUUAAAUAGAAAAUGCAUUGUUGAUUAACAAAGCAGACAAUUUCAAUCAGACAUUGCAUUGGGAGUCAAAUUUUUAUAUUCACAAUCCACUGAAUGUCUACAUUUUGGUUUGAUAUUGGCUAUUCGACAGAUAUUCAAAAUAAGGAACGGUGUAUUUUUUUUCCAACACCUCCUAAGCCAUGUGACCUAGUGACUCCAAACCAAUGCAGAAUUCUUCCCUGGCUCCUGUUUCUUCCCUGGCUCCUGUCCUCUAAUAUCUUAUCGUUUUAUUUUCUAUCUCUUAUAAUUUACUAACGACUGUGUCUUAAUCCAAAAAAGCGUUGAAUAAGGUCAGCUGGACUUGUAGAAUUUCUUGAAGACGUUUCGCCACUCAUCCGAGU